Molecule: small nuclear RNA, 183 nt
Organism: Ochotona curzoniae (black-lipped pika)
Lineage: Eukaryota; Metazoa; Chordata; Mammalia; Lagomorpha; Ochotonidae
Product: U2 spliceosomal RNA
Exons: 1
Source: RefSeq, a predicted model, not a curated record
UUCGCUUCUUGGCCUUUUGGCUAAGCUCAGGUAUAGUAUCUGUUCUUAUCAGUAAAAAAAAAGCAAACAAAAAAAAACCAUCUCUUUGAUUUCUGUAGUGGGAAUGCGCACACGGAGGUGACCUUGUUGGCCUUCAAGGCUGCAAGAAAUCAGCAGCCCUGCCUGACUUGCGUGCCAGUUCUU